This 256-nucleotide ribosomal RNA is filed under the name uncultured bacterium. RNAcentral's name for it is "partial 16S ribosomal RNA". It matches the Rfam family "Bacterial small subunit ribosomal RNA", at positions 524 to 776 of the family's 1533-position model. The record is from RNAcentral.
UACGGAGGGUGCGAGCGUUGUCCGGAAUCAUUGGGCGUAAAGGGCGCGUAGGUGGCCCGGUCAGUCUUUGGUGAAAGCGCGGGGCUCAACCCUGCGUCGGCCAGGGAUACUGCCGCGGCUGGAGCACUGUAGAGGCAGGCGGAAUUCCGGGUGUAGCGGGGGAAUGCGUAGAGAUCCGGAAGAACACCGGUGGCGAAGGCGGCCUGCUGGGCAGUUUUGCUGACACUGAGGCGCGACAGCGUGGGGAGCAAACAGG